UGUAAGAAAAGUCAGUCAUGCAUAUUUUUCACGAGAAACAAAAGUUUAAUUAAAAUUUAAAAGAGAAUAACGCUAGAAAAGCAGCGGUCAUUGUUUCUCGACUCGUGAGUGUAAAUUUUUCAACUCCGGCAGGUAAACAAACCACGCCGGUUAAUGGAAUCAACAAUUGCGCGUACAUUUUCAACGGAUAUACUUCAACGGCAUAGGAUAAACAUGCGAAACACGCGCGAGUUAAAAUAAUUGCGCGAAAUAAAACUGUUGACUAUUUGCCGCAGCCCAAAAUGCAUUUUAUUUGAUAUCGGCGCCACACAUAUUGGUUUAUUGAUAAAUACAAGGUAUUUGUGUGAAAACAUUCAACGAAAAUAUAAAAAAUUAUUGUUUCCUGCAAGACUGGUUGCUAACUAUUGAUAGGUUAUGUCUGGGGAUUAACUCAAGCGGAAAUACGUCGCAUUCGCUUGUGAUUCAGCCAAUUACAGUGUUAUUAUGUCAUAUAAAAUCUUAUAAUUGUCAUUUGUCAUCAAAGGAAAGGAAGAGUGUUGUUCCAACCGGAUGCAAUGAUACUUUUCAUUCUACAUGCAGCGCAUAGUUGCAAACAUUCAUUAGAUUCGAAAUAGUUGCGGUAGUUGUAGUUGUAGACGAUUGAGAUUGAAGACAAUGCAGUUUCCAGCUAGCAGCAAGCAGCAAGUUUCGAGUGAGUUUGAGCUACACGUUCGCACGAAUGGAUUUCAAUGCCUUUGCAGUGAUUUGUCACUUGUUUCAACUAUUUUAUCAGCGAAUACCAAUUUAACCUCAAUUACCUAAUUGAAUUUAAAGGUUAAAAUGUUUUUUAUAUAUAUGAGAUGCAAAUAUUUAGUUUGAAAUACUUGUUCAUGUUAAAAGUGAUACAUUUUUAUGUUUGUUUCGUGUUGGAUCACGUUUAAGUGCAAUUAUUUAGUCGUUGGUGUUAAUGGAGCGUGAAACGUCGCCAGUUUUGCAUACUGAAGCACUGCGCCAGUUUCACUUGAGGAGCAAGUAACACGUCCGAGAUGGGAGCCGAAAACAAACCAAAACGCACGAGAUUUGUUUCAUUUUCUUUCUUUUUUAGUGCAUGAACGACGUCAGAAUGAAGGAUUCAUGCGCGAGAUUGCAAGGAUUUAAAUGGUCUCACGUCGCAAGGCCUAAAAUGGAAGCUGGAAAGAAAAAUCAUGUUUUAAAGAAUAGUUUAGAGUAUAUUUUGGGUCAAAAUAUGUAAAAUCUUUCUAAAUUUUGUAUAUUUAUUAUGAAUACUUGAAGGUUAGUGGUUUUGUAAUUAUAUCUAUGUUAGGCAACCACACAUACACCAUUACUAUACAUAAAAAGGUUAUAAUCAAUUGAAUUGACAUUUUUAAAAGUUUUAUGAUAUAAAGGUGUUGUGCAAAUAGUAAAAUGUCACUCAGAAAAGACUUGUGAAGUGUAGCAAAGAAAAUUAAUCUAAAUAAUUGCCGUGAAUGACAUUACGCGAUUGUAGAAACAAGAAAAA
Molecule: long non-coding RNA, 1498 nt
Organism: Dalotia coriaria
Lineage: Eukaryota; Metazoa; Arthropoda; Insecta; Coleoptera; Staphylinidae
Exons: 3
Source: RefSeq, a predicted model, not a curated record